RNAcentral lists this unclassified non-coding RNA (411 nucleotides) under Hevea brasiliensis (rubber tree). Lineage: Eukaryota; Viridiplantae; Streptophyta; Magnoliopsida; Malpighiales; Euphorbiaceae. The record is from RNAcentral.
GCAAACUCCUUUAUAUCCGCGAUCGAGGAAGCAUCAGCAUCACGAAUGGAUUCGUCGAUCUUGUAAAGGAGCUUAUAUUUCGUCUGCUGCCUCAGCUUUACCAGAACUGAGCUAUUAGCGGACUGAAUCAUAACUUUUUGAGCAGUCUGAUUAGCGUAACCUGAAUCAGCUAAGGCUUUGAUGACAGCAUCCGUUACACUAAAUCCUAAUCUUUCUGAGAAGAAUGCUGCAUUCUCUAUGCUGAUCAAGACUCCGGACAGAGGUUUAUCUUUUGCAAAAGUCAAGAAAUCUGAUAACCUCGUAAAAUUUCCUGCAUUUGUAAACCGUGGGUUGCGCACCAAUUUGUACUCUGCUAGUUCUGGGUUUGACAUCAAUGGCUGCAAGUUCUUCAGCAUAUCUUCCCAAGUGAGA